Molecule: long non-coding RNA, 285 nt
Filed under: Lathyrus oleraceus (garden pea)
Lineage: Eukaryota; Viridiplantae; Streptophyta; Magnoliopsida; Fabales; Fabaceae
Description: Pisum sativum (pea) long non-coding RNA (PSAT_LNC039601)
Source: RNAcentral
UGAAUAUGUGUAUUGAAAGUCAAUGGCGCCAGUGUGAUGAAUACAAAAUGUUUCGUUGAAGAGUGUCAACAGCGUCAGUGUGGUGAAUAAGAAAUGUUUCGUGCGGUACAAGAAUUUGUGGAAGUAAGAAGAGCUUUCACUUGAGGGGGAGUAUUAUGGACUCACACUUGAGAGGGACCCACCUAUCACCUUAAGAUUUUAGGUGAAUAUGUGGUGUGGCUCUCACAAAGGUGUUGCUCUAAAAAAAGGAAGUCUCACAAAGUUCAAUGCUCCCUAGUGAAAAAC